UGGGGAAUUUUGGACAAUGGGCGAAAGCCUGAUCCAGCAAUGCCGCGUGUGUGAAGACGGCCUUCGGGUUGUAAAGCACUUUUGUCCGGAAAGAAAUGGCUCUGGUUAAUACCUGGGGUCGAUGACGGUACCAGAAGAAUAAGGACCGGCUAACUACGUGCCAGCAGCCGCGGUAAUACGUAGGGUCCAAGCGUUAAUCGGAAUUACUGGGCGUAAAGCGUGCGCAGGCGGUUGUGCAAGACCGAUGUGAAAUCCCCGAGCUUAACUUGGGAAUUGCAUUGGUGACUGCACGGCUAGAGUGUGUCAGAGGGGGGUAGAAUUCCACGUGUAGCAGUGAAAUGCGUAGAGAUGUGGAGGAAUACCGAUGGCGAAGGCAGCCCCCUGGGAUAACACUGACGCUCAUGCACGAAAGCGUGGGGAGCAAACAGG
This 429-nucleotide ribosomal RNA is filed under the name Acidobacteriota bacterium. RNAcentral's name for it is "Acidobacteria bacterium partial 16S ribosomal RNA". It matches the Rfam family "Bacterial small subunit ribosomal RNA", at positions 355 to 776 of the family's 1533-position model. The record is from RNAcentral. Lineage: Bacteria; Pseudomonadati; Acidobacteriota.